RNAcentral lists this ribosomal RNA (497 nucleotides) under uncultured bacterium. Its description in RNAcentral is "partial 16S ribosomal RNA". It matches the Rfam family "Bacterial small subunit ribosomal RNA", at positions 28 to 507 of the family's 1533-position model. The record is from RNAcentral.
GAUGAACGCUGGCGGCGUGCCUAAUACAUGCAAGUCGAGCGAACAGACGAGGAGCUCGCUCCUCUGACGUUAGCGGCGGACGGGUUAGUAACACGUGCAUAACCUACUUAUAUUACUGGGAUAACUUCGGGAAUCCGGAGCUAAUACCGGCUAAUAUAUUGAACCGCCUGGUUCAAUAGUGAUAUACGGUUUUCCUGUUACUUAUAGAUGGAUCCGCGCCGCAUUAGCUAGUUGGUAAGGUAACGGCUUACCAAGGCAACGAUGCGUAGCCGACCUGAGAGGGUGAUCGGACACACUGGAACUGAGCCACGGUCCAGACUCCUACGGGAGGCAGCAGUAGGGAAGCUUCUCCAACGGGCGAAAGUCUGACCCAGCAACAGCGCGGGAGUAAAGAAAAAGUUGAAGUCGGAAAAAGGUAUUAUAAGGCAAGAACAAAUGAAGAGGUAGCUAUGGACAGAGUGACGGUACAAAGACAGAAAGACACGGAUAACUACAGU